AUGCUGCGACUUAGCAUCUGUGUUGUGUGGGGAGCAUUUGUUACAGACCUGAUUCAUGGAGAUUCUGUCAUUCAGUCACUCUCAUUAGUAACUCGAACUGAAGGAGGGGCAGUGACUCUUAACUGUACCUUUGAUACUACAUUGAGCAGCUAUGUAUUGCUCUGGUACAGACAGCAUCCAGGCACACAGCCCAGGUAUAUCCUAAGCAAAGAUCGUCUUGAAGUUGAGGAUAAAGCAGAUUUUGCGAAAGAUGUCUUCUCCGUAGAACUUCAGACCUCGAGGAAGUUCACUGGUUUGACUAUCACCGCGCUGGAGCUGACUGACGCUGCUGUAUAUCACUGCACGUUCAGGCACAGUGAUGAGAAACAGUCUCACUCCCGUACAAAAACUGUCUGUUUAUCAUAG
This is a non-coding RNA of Rhincodon typus (whale shark), 405 nucleotides long. The record is from the annotation of a RefSeq genome assembly. Lineage: Eukaryota; Metazoa; Chordata; Chondrichthyes; Orectolobiformes; Rhincodontidae.